This 722-nucleotide ribosomal RNA is filed under the name uncultured bacterium. RNAcentral describes it as "bacterial SSU rRNA". It matches the Rfam family "Bacterial small subunit ribosomal RNA", at positions 776 to 1496 of the family's 1533-position model. The record is from RNAcentral.
GAUUAGAUACCCUGGUAGUCCACGCCGUAAACGAUGAGUGCUAAGUGUUAGGGGGUUUCCGCCCUUAGUGCUGCAGCUAACGCAUUAAGCACUCCGCCUGGGGAGUACGGUCGCAAGACUGAAACUCAAAGGAAUUGACGGGGGCCCGCACAAGCGGUGGAGCAUGUGGUUUAAUUCGAAGCAACGCGAAGAACCUUACCAGGUCUUGACAUCCCGCCGACCGCCUAGGAGACUAGGCCUUCCCUUCGGGGACGGCGGUGACAGGUGGUGCAUGGUUGUCGUCAGCUCGUGUCGUGAGAUGUUGGGUUAAGUCCCGCAACGAGCGCAACCCUUGAUCUUAGUUGCCAGCAUUCAGUUGGGCACUCUAAGGUGACUGCCGGUGACAAACCGGAGGAAGGUGGGGAUGACGUCAAAUCAUCAUGCCCCUUAUGACCUGGGCUACACACGUGCUACAAUGGAUGGUACAAAGGGCUGCGAACCCGCGAGGGGGAGCCAAUCCCAUAAAACCAUUCUCAGUUCGGAUUGUAGGCUGCAACUCGCCUACAUGAAGCUGGAAUCGCUAGUAAUCGUGGAUCAGCAUGCCACGGUGAAUACGUUCCCGGGCCUUGUACACACCGCCCGUCACACCACGAGAGUUUGUAACACCCGAAGUCGGUGGGGUAACCUUUAUGGAGCCAGCCGCCGAAGGUGGGACAGAUGAUUGGGGUGAAGUCGUAACAAGG